AUCCUACCAAACAUUUGUAAAAUUUAUCCAGUUAGAAGCUAGAAUAUUUAUUUAUUGUACGUCGCUGUAUAAUAUAUCUACAUUUGCAUCCUGAUAUCUACAUUUGCAUUGCUGAUAUUGUAAUACCUUCAAUCAACUAACAACGAAUAAAUUAAAAUAUAGUUAAAUCAACAUAACUCAGACGAAAUAACUACGUUGCCAAUUGUCUAUCCCUAAUAACUUUAAUCCUCUCCCGUGCCAGUAUUCCUGCGCAUAGCAGGUUAGCCGAAAGGUGGAAUUCGUUUGCCAGUUGCAUCAAACCGAUCGUCAACGCUAGCCACGCGCCGUCCGUACGGACUGCAUAGGCUGCGAGUAUUUAGCACUCCAAGAGUUAGGAGGACGCGUGUGUAAGCAGCCGUAAAGAGGACGCAGCCGUGAGUGCGGUCGAAAUCUCCGGAAAAACUGGAGAAUUCGGACAAGGAAGUUAACCAAAGUGAAAGGCUAGUACCUGUGAACAAAAGUGAGUGCAGGAACCAAUGGAAUCCGGUCUGGAAAGACGUUACAGGCGAAAAUGAACCGAG
This 560-nucleotide unclassified non-coding RNA is filed under the name Bombus terrestris (buff-tailed bumblebee). RNAcentral's name for it is "misc RNA ENSBTSG00005034009.1". Lineage: Eukaryota; Metazoa; Arthropoda; Insecta; Hymenoptera; Apidae. The record is from RNAcentral.